UUCAAUUCCGGCACUGCUCCGUAAGGAGUCUCGGUACAUCCUCCCCGUGGCAUGUGUGGGCUUCCUCCAGGUCCUUCAGUUUUGUCCCGCAGUCCAAGGACUACCUGAUGCUGCACAACCUGCUGAGUUUCUCAAGAUUCUUUGCUCCAGACUCCAGCAUUUCCAGGCAUGUGUACUUUCUGUGCCCUGAACAUGGAGAACGGUUGGAUGGCACGGAAACAUAGCAACCAGAAGGACGCUUUACAGUGCCAGCUGUCACGGUUCAAUUCCUCUACUUUCUCCCCGUGACCACAUGGGUCUCCUCCAGGUAUUCCAACUUCCUCCCACAUUCCAAAGACAUACGAGUUAGUAAGGGGAAGCGUAUUGAAGUCAUGCUACGUGGUAUUGGAAGCAUGCCGACAGUUCCCCCAGCAUAUCCUUGGACUGUGCUGGUUGAUGACAUAAGUGACACAUUUCACUGUAUGUUUCGAUGUACAUGUAGCAAAAUAAACCUA
This is a long non-coding RNA of Mobula hypostoma (lesser devil ray), 494 nucleotides long. RefSeq lists it as uncharacterized. The record is from RefSeq and is a predicted model, not a curated record. Lineage: Eukaryota; Metazoa; Chordata; Chondrichthyes; Myliobatiformes; Myliobatidae. The transcript has 3 exons.